Molecule: ribosomal RNA, 253 nt
Filed under: uncultured bacterium
Lineage: Bacteria
Description: partial 16S ribosomal RNA
Rfam family: Bacterial small subunit ribosomal RNA
Source: RNAcentral
GACGGAGGGUGCUAGCGUUGUUCGGAAUUACUGGGCGUAAAGGGCGCGUAGGCGGCCGCUUGCGUCGGAUGUGAAAGCCCGGGGCUCAACCCCGGAACGGCAUCCGAUACGGGGCGGCUGGAGACCGGGAGAGGAGGGUGGAAUAGCCAGUGUAGAGGUGAAAUUCGUAGAUAUUGGCUGGAACACCGGUGGCGAAAGCGGUUCUCUGGCCCGGUUCUGACGCUGAGGCGCGAAAGCGUGGGGAGCAAACAGG